This 377-nucleotide long non-coding RNA is filed under the name Rattus norvegicus (Norway rat). Its description in RNAcentral is "long non-coding RNA NONRATT019315". The record is from RNAcentral. Lineage: Eukaryota; Metazoa; Chordata; Mammalia; Rodentia; Muridae.
GACUUUCUUGCAGAAAUUAUAAGAGAAAUAAGGAGGCGGUGGGGAUUCGAAAAGCUUAGCCCGCACCCGGGAAGGGCGAAAAUCCCUUUCCCCGCAACUCAGUUCGAAAGUGAAGGUUUCCCAACAGUGAUGUCACAAGAUUGACCACACUGACACAGUGCAGAGUGGUGGCGAACCACAGAUGGUCACUCUCGUGCAGGAACGCCCUUCUUUCCUCCAUUACUGGGAAUUCCACCACUGUUUGCUCCUCCAGCCCAGAAUCACGAUUCGUCAUUCCAUUCAAGGACUUCUGGGAAGAGCAAUCGAAAUGGUCCCGAAAAAGGUAUAAAUGGGUCAGUUAAUGGAAACAGUGCAGCAUCUGUACAUGGUGUCAAUAC